This 2228-nucleotide long non-coding RNA is filed under the name Zea mays. Its description in RNAcentral is "long non-coding RNA (ZMAY_LNC003915)". The record is from RNAcentral. Lineage: Eukaryota; Viridiplantae; Streptophyta; Magnoliopsida; Poales; Poaceae.
UCCCCCCUAUUCCCCCACGACGUCGUGACUACCUCCACUACGAUCCUUCCCCUGCUUAUGGAGAUGACAGUUCCAAGCAUACUCCAACAUCUCUCUCCCUACACGCACAACUAGCCAUGGCCGCGCGGCCACUGCAACCCGUGCGAGCACACCCUGCGAUGCACGAGUGUUGCUCUGCACAACCGCUCGACGGUCGUCCCCCAGAGCUUCCCCAUGAUGCGCGUCGUGAAGCCCCUCGACGAAGACCCUAGGAACACCUGCAGGGGUCGGCCAUCGUGCACAGGUGAGAACCCACUCCUCUCUCUCCCUCGUCCCGCCGGCGUCGUCCCUCCGCUCGCGUGCCCUUUCUCGGCGCGAGCGCGUCCCUGCGCAGCGGAGCUGGGUGGCCGUGCUCCAGCCCCUCCUCCCCUCACCUAGCCCUGAGCGCGGUAGCCUCUUGCAGGCCCCCUCGCGCGGCGCCACCGCCGCGCAGCGCCCAUGCCCCUCGCGGCCAGUCCACAACGGUGCCCCGGCCAACCCCCUGGCCAGCAGCGGCGUAGCGCCCAUCCCAACAGCGAGCAACCGCCAGCCAUGCACGCCGACUCCUUGCUGCCAUUACCCCGCCCCGCGUGACGUCCAACUCCAGCUGGUGUUGCGUCGCCUUGCCGCAUGAUGCGCGUGCCGUCGUGCUCGUGAAGAAAAGCAAACCGUCCGUGUGGCCGUGUGCGAGUAUGUAGGCUAGGAGAAAAGAACGGACGUUGGGCCUCACAAACAUGCAUGUGCAGGCAGCGUUCCUCCAUGAUUUUCCUGCAUGCGUACAGAUUCUAGAGCCAAAACGAAAUUGCCGAUCCCUUGGAUAUCGUAUUUCCCUCCCCAGCCAGGCUGCAUGCCAGAGAAAUAAUCCUUAAGGAUUCUCUGUGCCCCAAAUUUGUGGCCCUAGGUGUGGCUUGUUUCGACCAAUAAAAAUGUGCCACGUCGUUAUUAAUCUGCGAUUAGUUAAAAUAUAUUAACUUUUGCGUUAGACAUCUGAAUUAAUAUGUUUCUAUUGAGUUAGCUUCGUAAUAAUAUCAUGCACACAUUAAACAUAUUAUCUUGUCAUAACGUAUGUUUGUUUUACUUAAUUGUAAGUUGGUCUGUUGGUUAUUAACAUAGCAAUUUAGUUAAAACUAUUUUAUGGUUUUAAGUUACACUUUUAUAAAUAUACGUUAAAAUGAUUAAUACCAACUCAAAUAAGUACUAAUUUAAUUAUUACCAACUUAAACGUUUGGAUUCGAUACUGGUUUAGUAUAAAUAUGUCAUCUAUUUAGUUUUUCUCGCCUGUCGCGCGUGCGGUUCUGCACUCGGUGGCGUGCUGUUUCAAGCGUCGUUCUCUCUAGUCGCGCGUACUGUCUCGUGCGUUGUUUUGCGCAGUGUCGCGCGUCCUCACACGUCAUUCUCAUGUGCCGCACAUGCCAUUUUUCGCGUGCGUCGCGCAUGCCCUUUUCGCGUCGCGCACCUUGUCGUGCGUCACCACGCGUCAUUCGCGCAUGACGCACGCGUCGUUUUUGCGUGUAGUGCACAUUGCCGCACGUUGUUCACGCAUGUCACGCGUGUCCGUGCGUCGUUCGCACGCUGUCGUGCUGUUUCGCGCGUCGUAAAUUUGCCUCACUUAGAUUCUCUCGUUUUAAUUAAAUUAUUUACUUAACUGACAUUGGUUAGUGUAGCAGAUUAAUCGAGCUAAAUGAUAGAUAUUAUUUAUAUUUGAUAACGUCGAAUUAAAUACUAUAGUUAAUACUUGUUUAGCGUAAACGCGCUAACCCCUCGACCGUAGCUCUUACUUUCGUGUUUCUUAUCCUCGCAUAACUGUAGGAGCGCUCUCUAUUUUAUAUUGCUCGCUUUUAUAACAUUUUAUCUUGUAUGGUGUAAUGUUCUUAUGUAUAUGUAUAUAUUUGUUUGCUUGUGCCUGUUCGUCUUCGCUUCGCGUUGCGAUUAGAUCGUGAUUCGUUUCUGAGCUUCGAGGAAUCGACGGUCAAGCUUCAACGACCAAAUGACCCAGUUCUUCGAGUUCCACGAGAUUGAAGACCCUGAGCAUAUGUUUGGUGAAGGCAAGUGUCCCUUGACCUAUCUCUGUCCUAUACAUUCUUUAAUUCACCUCCCGCAUUACACAGUUAUACCUAAGGAUUUACUAGCUUUUGUUAUCCAUGUCCUUGUUUACCUAUCUGGGUUGGAUUAUUAUUGUUUAGCUUUAUGCUAUUGCUCAGCUCUAAUCA